RNAcentral lists this ribosomal RNA (495 nucleotides) under uncultured bacterium. RNAcentral describes it as "partial 16S ribosomal RNA". It matches the Rfam family "Bacterial small subunit ribosomal RNA", at positions 30 to 507 of the family's 1533-position model. The record is from RNAcentral.
CGAACGCUGGCGGCGUGCCUAAUACAUGCACGUAGAACGCUGAAGAGCGGAGCUUACUCUUCUUGGAUGAGUUGCGAACGGGUGAGUAACGCGUAGGUAACCUGCCUUGUAGCGGGGGAUAACUAUUGGAAACGAUAGCUAAUACCGCAUAACAAUGGAUGACACAUGUCAUUUAUUUGAAAGGGGCAAUUGCUCCACUACAAGAUGGACCUGCGUUGUAUUAGCUAGUAGGUGAGGUAAUGGCUCACCUAGGCGACGAUACAUAGCCGACCUGGGAGGGUGAUCGGCCACCCUGGGACUGAGACACGGCCCAGACUCCUACGGGGGGCAGCAGUAGGGAAUCUUCGGCAAUGGGGGCAACCCUGACCGAGCAACGCCGCGUGAGUGAAGAAGGUUUUCGGAUCGUAAAGCUCUGUUGUAAGUCAAGAACGGGUGUGAGAGUGGAAAGUUCACACUGUGACGGUAGCUUACCAGAAAGGGACGGCUAACUACGUG